Molecule: ribosomal RNA, 874 nt
Filed under: uncultured bacterium
Lineage: Bacteria
Description: bacterial SSU rRNA
Rfam family: Bacterial small subunit ribosomal RNA
Source: RNAcentral
AGAACGAACGCUGGCGGCGUGGCUAAGGCAUGCAAGUCGAACGGACCUUGGUGCGGGGUAACCCAAUCCUUGGUUAGUGGCGAACGGGUGAGGAAUACAUGGAUAACGUACCCCAGACACAGGGAUAGCGGCGGGCUUCGGCCCUUUGCGAAAGUGCCGGUAAUACCUGAUGAUCCCAGAGGACCGCAUGGUUUUCUGGGCAAAGCUCCGACGGUCUGGGACCGGUUCAUGUCCUAUCAGCUUGUUGGUGGGGUAACGGCCUACCAAGGCAACGACGGGUACCGGGCGUGAGAGCGCGAUCCGGCACAUCGGAACUGAGAUACUGUCCGGACACCUACGGGUGGCUGCAGCAACGAAUAUUCCCCAAUGGACGAAAGUCUGAGGGAGCGACGCCGCGUGCAGGAUGAAGUCCCUCGGGAUGUAAACUGCUGUCAGGGGUGAGGAAGAUCUGACCAACCCCAAAGGAAGCACUGGCUAACUCCGUGCCAGCAGCCGCGGUAAUACGGAGAGUGCGAGCGUUGUUCGGAAUUACUGGGCUUAAAGCGCGUGCAGGCGGAAUGUCAGGUGUUCGGUGAAAUCCCCCGGCUCAACCGGGGAAUUGCCGGGCAAACCGACAUUCUUGAGGCAGGUAGAGGUGACUGGAACAACUGGUGGAGCGGUGAAAUGCGUAGAUAUCAGUUGGAACGCCGGAGGCGAAAGCGAGUCACUGGGCCUGUCCUGACGCUCAGACGCGAAAGCGUGGGUAGCGAACGGGAUUAGAUACCCCGGUAGUCCACGCCGUAAACGAUGCGCACUAGGUAUGGGAGGUCUGACGCCGACCGUGCCGAAGCAAAAGUGGUAAGUGCGCCGCCUGGGGAGUACGGCCGCAAGGCUA